Molecule: long non-coding RNA, 1724 nt
Organism: Suricata suricatta (meerkat)
Lineage: Eukaryota; Metazoa; Chordata; Mammalia; Carnivora; Herpestidae
Exons: 3
Source: RefSeq, a predicted model, not a curated record
UUGAUGCGCACGCGCCAUGCUCCUUCCCAGACGGACCAGAGAUCCGCACAGAGCACUCGUGGAAGGCAGCUCCCACCGCUCGGACGGAGGGAAAGGGUGGGACGGUUCCGGCUCGCACAGUGCGUUUUGGGGGGCUAGGGAGAGCCUUGGAGUCACCGCAACAAGGGAGGGGACUGACGAGGGGUAGAAGUUGUGGCCUCAGGAGCGGUAACGAGAUCGGAGAGAUGAAGUUGGUAUUAGGACCGGAGGACACGCUGAGCGUCCUGGUACUUACAUCGUCGCCACUCGCCGUCUGCCUUCACCAGCUGAUCUACUAGUCCCGGGUCCUUGAAGCGCUUCUCCUGAGUCUCUCGGAUGAGGGCCGGGUCCCCUCCUUUAUCUACCCGAAACAAAUCCAGAUCCAGAACCAUCUUUCCUUUUCUCCGGCCACACUAAGGGACGUGAGGAACGUACUACAGCAGCCACUGACCGCCGCACUGCGCCGGCGCGCUGACCCGCCCUAUCCGCGCAGGCGCGGCCGGAGGGCGCAGGCGCCCCCUCUGGGCCGGAAGGAACUGUGUCCGAAAACUGGGCCGCGGAUAGGAAGAUGAGGAGUCUGAAGCCUACAGGGGGAGUGUGGUGACUUUUCCAAGUUCACGAAGCCAGCACCAAAUGAGUUCCUAGACCAGAGAAUCUCCUAGUUACAGCCUCGUUGGCCUGCACUGGGGAGCUUCCUCAACCACGCAGUCCCACACCUCUUCUGUCUCGGUCUUAUUAAUCUGGGCAAGAGGGAAAUACUGCCUGAGAAACAGCUGGAAUCUUCUCAGCUCAUUGACUUGGCUAACAAGCAGAAGGCCUCCUUCAGCACAGAGAGAUCCAGGGACUCCUGCUUGCGACAAACUGGGCCCGGAGAAAUUUGGGGGAGAUGCUGAAAACACACCAAUUCCCAGGACCUUGCAUAUUGAGUCUAGCAAAUUGCAAGUUACAUGGUAGAAAGUACAUUCUGCACAAGGAUCUUUCUCUGCUUGUCAAAUAUUUGCUCAACCUGAUACCCUAGCUCCACGUUUCUCCAAAAAGGGUCCAGCUGUUUACACACUGACAACUGCUAAGGUAGUUUUAAGGAAUGAUUAACCCAAGGGCUGCAACUGGUCUCACUUCCCUAGCUCAGGAUUUCAUCAGAGUGUUUAAGGUGAGUACUAGUCAAGCUUGAAAGAUCUGCCUGGAUGGUCAGUUAGGGAGUGAAAAGUGAUCGCUGUAGCAUUGGUCCCAGGGCAAAACUAUUAAGAAGAUAAAGUUUAUCACGAGGGCUCCAGUUUCCCUGUCCGAGCUUCCCGCCACCUUCCAAGACCUUUUCCCCGACUCUAGGAGUACAACGUCUUCUCAUCCUGGUCCAUUUCAUCACAGGAGAACAUUUCCCCUGAAGGUUCAAGCAUCUAAUGAAUGCUUGGCCCAGGUCAGACCCCACUUCAGACUCUGGGCAAAUCCCUCGACCUCUCAGUGCUGCCCUUCAUUCAUUUAUACACAGGGAGAUCAUCCUACACUCCAGUGUGAAUGAUACACGAGAAGAUGUCUGGUAAAUUGCAAAGUACUAUCCUGGUGACGUGUCAUAGUACUAUGCUAAAAGUACUUUCAUAUUAACAGAAGACAGCUGGGAAAUGAACACAUUUGAUCCUUGAACCACAACACAGGUUUAAACUGGGCAGACUGGUUUUUUAUAUGUAAAUACAGUACAGUAUUGUAAAUGU